This 520-nucleotide ribosomal RNA is filed under the name uncultured bacterium. RNAcentral describes it as "bacterial SSU rRNA". It matches the Rfam family "Bacterial small subunit ribosomal RNA", at positions 26 to 518 of the family's 1533-position model. The record is from RNAcentral.
AGGACGAACGCUGGCGGCGUGCCUAAUACAUGCAAGUCGAACGGUCUUUCUAUGGAAGCUUGCUUCCACUGAGGAGAUAGUGGCGAACGGGUGAGUAACACGUGGGUAACCUGCCCAUAAGAGGGGGAGUAACAUCCGGAAACGGGUGCUAAUACCGCAUAGUUUUCUUGAUCGCAUGAUCGGGAAAGGAAAGACGGCCUUUGUGCUGUCGCUUAUGGAUGGACCCGCGGCGUAUUAGUUAGUUGGUGAGGUAACGGCUCACCAAGACGAUGAUACGUAGCCGACCUGAGAGGGUGAUCGGCCACAUUGGGACUGAGACACGGCCCAAACUCCUACGGGAGGCAGCAGUAGGGAAUCUUCCGCAAUGGACGAAAGUCUGACGGAGCAACGCCGCGUGAGUGAAGAAAGGUUUUCGGAUCGUAAAACUCUGUUGUCAGAGAAGAACAAGUUGGAGAGUAACUGCUCCAGCCUUGACGGUAUCUGACCAGAAAGCCACGGCUAACUACGUGCCAGCCGCCGC